UGAGGAAUAUUGGUCAAUGGACGGAAGUCUGAACCAGCCAAGUAGCGUGCAGGAUGACGGCCCUAUGGGUUGUAAACUGCUUUUUUAGGGGAAUAAAGUUAGCCACGUGUGGUUAUUUGCAUGUACCCUACGAAUAAGGACCGGCUAAUUCCGUG
RNAcentral lists this ribosomal RNA (155 nucleotides) under uncultured bacterium. RNAcentral describes it as "partial 16S ribosomal RNA". It matches the Rfam family "Bacterial small subunit ribosomal RNA", at positions 355 to 507 of the family's 1533-position model. The record is from RNAcentral.